UACACUCCACUCCCCCUACAAUGUCUCCACCACCUUUCCUCCUCCUCCUCCUCCUCCCCGCCCUCAUCUCCACCGCCACCGCCGCCGUCUGCGCCCCCUCCGACCACUCCGCCCUCCUCGCCUUCCGCGCGGCUCUCUCAGGCCCCAAUACCACAGUCUUCUCCACCUGGACCGGCUCCGACUGUUGCCACCUCUGGCGCGGUGUCACCUGCGACCCCACCAACGGCCGCGUCGGCGACCUCACCCUCCGCGGCGAAUCCACCGACCCCCUCAGCACCGACCAGUCCAGCAUCAUGGCCGGUAAGCUCUCACCGUCCAUCUGCCUCCUCGACCGUCUCUCCUCCCUCAUUAUCUCCGACUGGAAGCAGAUCACCGGACCCAUUCCCGCUUGCAUCACCUCGCUCCCCUACCUCCGCAUCCUCGACCUCGUCGGCAACCACCUCACCGGCCCGCUGCCGGCCGACAUCGGUCGGCUUUCCCACCUCACAGUCCUUAACAUCGCCGACAAUGCGAUCUCCGGAAGUAUUCCCGCAACUCUUCCAAACUUGACCUCCCUCAUGCACCUCGACCUCAGCGGCAACCAGAUCACCGGCCGGUUCCCGGCCGGGUUCGGCAAGCUCAGCAAGCUGAGCCGGGCGCUACUCGCCCGGAACCAGAUCACCGGCGGGAUCCCGCUGUCCAUCGGGUGGAUGGAUCGUCUUGCGGAUCUGGAUCUGUCGGGUAACCGGAUCUACGGGCGGAUCCCGUCCGUGCUGGGGCGGAUGCGGGUGCUGUCCUCCUUAUACCUCGACGGGAACCGGAUCUCUGGCGGAAUUCCUCGGACGCUGCUGACUAACAAAGGGUUGGGGAUUUUGAACGUGAGCAGAAACAACUUAAAUGGACCGAUCCCUGAUGUGUUCGGGCCGGAUUCGUAUUUUAUGGUGUUGGACUUGUCGUAUAAUCGGCUGACGGGUCGGGUGCCGGCGUCGUUGGGGAAGGCUAUGUAUGUCGGGCAUUUGGAUCUGAGCCAUAACCAUUUGUGUGGCCCGCUACCCGGCGGAGAGCCGUUCGACCACCUUGAGGCUCCGUCGUUCGCGGGUAAUGAUUGUCUGUGCGGCGCGCCGCUGCCAGCUUGCAAGUGAGCCGGCUGCCAGCUUGCAAGUGAGCCGGGUUGCUAUAGCUAAUAGCUCUAUGGUGGGGUCCAUGCAAGCCCGUUACCUGUACCGUAUUGUGUAAUUGUGUGUGCUGCUAUUUCUUGAUUAUACGGUAAUUAUACGAACAAAAGCUAUGUACGCGAAUUCAGUUUAGUGUUUACUUCCCAGCAAUGUUACAGUGAUUAAUCUUCG
This 1325-nucleotide unclassified non-coding RNA is filed under the name Hevea brasiliensis (rubber tree). The record is from RNAcentral. Lineage: Eukaryota; Viridiplantae; Streptophyta; Magnoliopsida; Malpighiales; Euphorbiaceae.